Molecule: non-coding RNA, 876 nt
Organism: Paramuricea clavata
Lineage: Eukaryota; Metazoa; Cnidaria; Anthozoa; Malacalcyonacea; Plexauridae
Source: the annotation of a GenBank genome assembly
UAUAAGCUUGAGCAAGCGCAGGUUUUUUUCAACUCGGACGUUGGAUUGCCGAGGGGGGACUGGAUUAAAACAGUUUGUGGUAAUCUUCAACACACAUGAGAAAACAUAAGAUUUUUAAAGUUUUUUGCUUCCUUACACGAACGCUAUGUCUAUGAUGCAAGAAUUAGUUAUUCCCAUUUUGACGGUGACGUCUCUGUUGACGAGCACGUCCCUUGCUUAAGCUCAUUACGAUAAAAAUUUUCUACGUAAAUAGGAUAGUGACAAAAAAGUUAAUUAUCUAUUAUUUGACGGACGCGUGUUCCAGUUCCCACUUCCACAAAAUAGAGGAUAUCAUUCUUGAAAUCUUCCCAGUUACAGUCUAAACAGCCCUCUGAGCCACUCUAGCGAAGUUUCUCUAGUUGUUACAUGUAUUUCUCCUUGGAAUACCAGAACUACAAUCUUAUUUCUACGAGAACCAGACCAGAAACGUAAGGAAAUAUGAUCACCAUAGCACGUAAUCGCGAAAUCCUUACGACACGAUUCUCCGACCUGUGUGACAAUUAGACGUGCCUUCUGCAUCACACGUCUGCAAUUCACACAGUUUUUUGGGCAAUGCGCAGAGUAACUGUUUAUAUCUUUAUGGGUUACUGCUGGACUACAUUCGAUUUCUUCUGUUUUACGUAACUAAUAACACAAUAAAAAUUUUCUUUAGUAAAGUGAAGUGUGUCAUGCGCUAUAUUAAUUGCCCCGGCCCUCCCGAAUAAGCUCCCUUUCUGUGUAAUGAAGGAAAAGUUGCCCACAUGCAAUUCACCAAAGUGGUCAUAACACUGUUUAUAGCCGAUUUAUAGUUAAGAUACCGCUCUUUCUGUCCUUUCUUGGGUUCAGGUGGUAAGGGGG